UACGUAGGGUGCGAGCGUUGUCCGGAAUUAUUGGGCGUAAAGGGCUCGUAGGCGGUUUGUCGCGUCGGGAGUGAAAACUCAGGGCUUAACCCUGAGCCUGCUUCCGAUACGGGCAGACUAGAGGUAUGCAGGGGAGAACGGAAUUCCUGGUGUAGCGGUGAAAUGCGCAGAUAUCAGGAGGAACACCGGUGGCGAAGGCAGUUCUCUGGGCAUUACCUGACGCUGAGGAGCGAAAGUGUGGGGAGCGAACAGG
This 253-nucleotide ribosomal RNA is filed under the name uncultured bacterium. RNAcentral's name for it is "partial 16S ribosomal RNA". It matches the Rfam family "Bacterial small subunit ribosomal RNA", at positions 524 to 776 of the family's 1533-position model. The record is from RNAcentral.